RNAcentral lists this small RNA (551 nucleotides) under Arabidopsis thaliana (thale cress). Its description in RNAcentral is "ATSL226550". The record is from RNAcentral. Lineage: Eukaryota; Viridiplantae; Streptophyta; Magnoliopsida; Brassicales; Brassicaceae.
AUUCUUCUAUAGAGGGUGGUUGCAGCCAGUGUGAGUCACUAGCUAAUGAACUUUGCGCUCAUGAAUCUAAAAGACAGCAACACCAUGAAGAGGUCAACGAAAGUACCUUUUGUCCAGCUCAAGCAAAUGCUGAUAGGUUAUAGAAGAUUGAGUGCAAACCACUAUCAUUGAUGUUUUGUUUCUAGGCUUGUAGCCACGACUCGAGAAGAGUGUACCUUGCCACAUUUGAUUGGGGCUGCCCCGGUCUGUUAUUGUGUACCAACUGGCAUUGAUGCUCUUCGUCCAUCUUUCUUCUUCUUGUUAGUUUGGUUAGAGCAUCGUAUUUCUUAAUAACAAUUUUGAGGGAUAUAUAUUGUCAAAAGUUUUUAGGAGUUUGGGGCUUCAAAUCAGAGAUCUUAUGACAACACAAGAAAUAUCAUCUUAUUUAUUUAUAUAUAUAUAUAUAUAUAUAUAUAUAUAUAUAACAAUCUUUGUGUGUUUCUGAGUUUAUUUAUUUAUGUGUUAAUCAUAAAACUGCAGAGAUAGCAAUUUAUUUACAUAAUGUCAAACAU